CUUAUGCGUUGUUGGGUAGGGGAGCGUUCUGUAAGCCUGUGAAGGUGUGCUGUGAGGUAUGCUGGAGGUAUCAGAAGUGCGAAUGCUGACAUAAGUAACGAUAAAGCGGGUGAAAAGCCCGCUCGCCGGAAGACCAAGGGUUCCUGUCCAACGUUAAUCGGGGCAGGGUGAGUCGACCCCUAAGGCGAGGCCGAAAGGCGUAGUCGAUGGGAAACAGGUUAAUAUUCCUGUACUUGGUGUUACUGCGAAGGGGGGACGGAGAAGGCUAUGUUGGCCGGGCGACGGUUGUCCCGGUUUAAGCGUGUAGGCUGGUUUUCCAGGCAAAUCCGGAAAAUCAAGGCUGAGGCGUGAUGACGAGGCACUACGGUGCUGAAGCAACAAAUGCCCUGCUUCCAGGAAAAGCCUCUAAGCAUCAGGUAACAUCAAAUCGUACCCCAAACCGACACAGGUGGUCAGGUAGAGAAUACCAAGGCGCUUGAGAGAACUCGGGUGAAGGAACUAGGCAAAAUGGUGCCGUAACUUCGGGAGAAGGCACGCUGAUAUGUAGGUGAAGCGACUUGCUCGUGGAGCUGAAAUCAGUCGAAGAUACCAGCUGGCUGCAACUGUUUAUUAAAAACACAGCACUGUGCAAACACGAAAGUGGACGUAUACGGUGUGACGCCUGCCCGGUGCCGGAAGGUUAAUUGAUGGGGUCAGCGCAAGCGAAGCUCUUGAUCGAAGCCCCGGUAAACGGCGGCCGUAACUAUAACGGUCCUAAGGUAGCGAAAUUCCUUGUCGGGUAAGUUCCGACCUGCACGAAUGGCGUAAUGAUGGCCAGGCUGUCUCCACCCGAGACUCAGUGAAAUUGAACUCGCUGUGAAGAUGCAGUGUACCCGCGGCAAGACGGAAAGACCCCGUGAACCUUUACUAUAGCUUGACACUGAACAUUGAGCCUUGAUGUGUAGGAUAGGUGGGAGGCUUUGAAGUGUGGACGCCAGUCUGCAUGGAGCCGACCUUGAAAUACCACCCUUUAAUGUUUGAUGUUCUAACGUUGACCCGUAAUCCGGGUUGCGGACAGUGUCUGGUGGGUAGUUUGACUGGGGCGGUCUCCUCCUAAAGAGUAACGGAGGAGCACGAAGGUUGGCUAAUCCUGGUCGGACAUCAGGAGGUUAGUGCAAUGGCAUAAGCCAGCUUGACUGCGAGCGUGACGGCGCGAGCAGGUGCGAAAGCAGGUCAUAGUGAUCCGGUGGUUCUGAAUGGAAGGGCCAUCGCUCAACGGAUAAAAGGUACUCCGGGGAUAACAGGCUGAUACCGCCCAAGAGUUCAUAUCGACGGCGGUGUUUGGCACCUCGAUGUCGGCUCAUCACAUCCUGGGGCUGAAGUAGGUCCCAAGGGUAUGGCUGUUCGCCAUUUAAAGUGGUACGCGAGCUGGGUUUAGAACGUCGUGAGACAGUUCGGUCCCUAUCUGCCGUGGGCGCUGGAGAACUGAGGGGGGCUGCUCCUAGUACGAGAGGACCGGAGUGGACGCAUCACUGGUGUUCGGGUUGUCAUGCCAAUGGCACUGCCCGGUAGCUAAAUGCGGAAGAGAUAAGUGCUGAAAGCAUCUAAGCACGAAACUUGCCCCGAGAUGAGUUCUCCCUGACCCUUUAAGGGUCCUGAAGGAACGUUGAAGACGACGACGUUGAUAGGCCGGGUGUGUAAGCGCAGCGAUGCGUUGAGCUAACCGGUACUAAUGAACCGUGAGGCUUAACCUUACAACGCCGAAG
Molecule: ribosomal RNA, 1745 nt
Filed under: Escherichia coli
Lineage: Bacteria; Pseudomonadati; Pseudomonadota; Gammaproteobacteria; Enterobacterales; Enterobacteriaceae
Description: partial 23S ribosomal RNA
Rfam family: Bacterial large subunit ribosomal RNA
Source: RNAcentral